UGCCAAGCCUGUGAGAAAAACCCUGAGACACCCAGAUGAAAUAUACAUGUGACUGACUCAAAAUCACAGACCAUACAUGUCCUUGUUGUUACUGCGUCGAACCAUAGCCACACCGAAGAGAAGGAUCGGUUGAAGAUGUGAGCUCAGAAAAUCAUGAAGGUAAGACAGAAGAAGCAGUUCAGAUCCAGAAGAAGGCAAAAUGAAAAUAAACAGAUCCUUAAAUCACAGGCAAAAGAAAGGAAACAGAUGAGAAGAAGUGAACCCACUGGUAUUGGGCCCUGCAGGAUGGUUCCAAAAAG
RNAcentral lists this long non-coding RNA (299 nucleotides) under Eucalyptus grandis. Its description in RNAcentral is "long non-coding RNA (EGRA_LNC007681)". The record is from RNAcentral. Lineage: Eukaryota; Viridiplantae; Streptophyta; Magnoliopsida; Myrtales; Myrtaceae.